Molecule: ribosomal RNA, 453 nt
Filed under: uncultured organism
Description: partial 16S ribosomal RNA
Rfam family: Bacterial small subunit ribosomal RNA
Source: RNAcentral
ACUCCUGCGGGAGGCAGCAGUGGGGAAUUUUACGCAAUGGGGGAAACCCUGACGUAGCGACACCGCGUGAGCGAAGAAGCCCUUUGGGGUGUAAAGCUCUGUCAGCUGGGACGAAAACAAUGACGGUACCAGCAGAGGAAGCAUCGGCUAACUACGUGCCAGCAGCCGCGGUAAGACGUAGGAUGCGAGCGUUGUCCGGAUUUAUUGGGCGUAAAGAGUUCGUAGGUGGUUUGUUAAGUUUGGUGUUAAAGAUCGGGGCUCAACCCUGGGACUGCACUGAAUACUGGCAGACUCGAGUGUGGUAGAGGCUAGUGGAAUUCCCAGUGUAGCGGUGAAAUGCGUAGAUAUUGGGAAGAACACCGGUGGCGUAGGCGACUAGCUGGGCCAUAACUGACGCUGAGGAACGAAAGCCAGGGGAGCGAAUGGGAUUAGAAACCCGAGUAGUCCCAUGAU